Molecule: long non-coding RNA, 578 nt
Organism: Bos taurus (domestic cattle)
Lineage: Eukaryota; Metazoa; Chordata; Mammalia; Artiodactyla; Bovidae
Source: Ensembl
CCUUUAAGUUUCCAGUUGAGUUUUCUCAGUGGGAGGAACUGGCAGAAAACCCGAGGCGAGAGGCGAGAGAGAAAGUUAUUUCUUUUCAGCUUCCUCCAGCUUUCAGCACUGAAGUUCUGGCAGCGUGCGCAUCCCUCUGUGGCUACCGCUCUUUCCCGGUGAUCCCACUUCCUAAUCUUUCCCGGUGAUCCCACUUCCUAAGCUUCGAGACUGUGAACUAGAGAUAUGGGCAGCCAGAAAGUCAUGGAGAAGCCAGUCCAAAAGAAUGGAGCCAAUAGGAAAGGCAAAGCAUAACCAAGUAUGGUAAUGACCACCUUGCAGGUGGUUGUGAGGACAAAACAGGUGGCUCAGCGGUAAAGAAUCCACCUGCAAUUCAGGAGUUGUGGGUUCGAUCCCUGGGUCAGGAAGAUCCCCUGGAGAAGGAAAUGGCAACCCACUCCAGUAUUCUUACCUGGACAAUCCCAUGGGCAGAAGAGCUUCGAGGGCUAUAAUCCAUGGGGUGGCAAAAGAGUCGGACACGACUUAGUGACUAAACAACAACAACUCUUUGGCAAAGGGAACUAUGCUCAGUAUCUUAU